CUACGGGGGGCACCAGUCGAGAAUCAUCCGCAAUGGGCGAAAGCCUGACGGCGCAAUGCCGCGUGGGGGAUGAAGGCCCUCGGGUCGUAAACCCCUGUCAGGAGGGACGAAGAAGUGACGGUACCUCCAGAGGAGGCCACGGCUAACUACGUGCCAGCAGCCGCGGUAAUACGUAGGUGGCGAGCGUUAUUCGGAUUUACUGGGCGUAAAGGGUCCGCAGGGGGUUUGCCAAGUCUGGUGUGAAAUCUCACAGCUCAACUGUGAAACUGCGCUGGAUACUGGUGAACUAGAGUGCGCGAGGGGUGAGUGGAAUUCCUGGUGUAGCGGUGGAAUGCGUAGAUAUCAGGAAGAACACCAACGGCGAAGGCAGCUCACUGGCGCGCAACUGACCCUCAUGGACGAAAGCGUGGGUAGCAAACAGGAUUAGAUACCCGCGUAGUC
This 441-nucleotide ribosomal RNA is filed under the name uncultured bacterium. RNAcentral describes it as "partial 16S ribosomal RNA". It matches the Rfam family "Bacterial small subunit ribosomal RNA", at positions 339 to 795 of the family's 1533-position model. The record is from RNAcentral.